This 66-nucleotide transfer RNA is filed under the name Ceratodoris hiroi. RNAcentral describes it as "Okenia hiroi tRNA-Arg". The record is from RNAcentral. Lineage: Eukaryota; Metazoa; Mollusca; Gastropoda; Nudibranchia; Goniodorididae.
UAUCUGGAAGCGAAAUAUUGCACUAAGUUUCGGCCUUAGGUUUGGGAAGUUUAAUCUCCCAGAUAG